GUAGGUGGCAAGCGUUGUCCGGAAUUAUUGGGCGUAAAGCGCGCGCAGGCGGUCCUUUAAGUCUGAUGUGAAAGCCCACGGCUCAACCGUGGAGGGUCAUUGGGAACUGGGGGACUUGAGUACAGAAGAGGAAAGCGGAAUUCCAAGUGUAGCGGUGAAAUGCGUAGAGAUUUGGGGGAACACCAGUGGCGAAGGCGGCUUUCUGGUCUGUAACUGACGCUGAGGCGCGAAAGCGUGGGGAGCAAACAGGAUUAGAUACCCUGGUAGUCCACGCCGUAAACGAUGAGUGCUAAGUGUUAGGGGGUUUCCCGCCCCCCUUAGUGCUGCAGCUAACGCAUUAAGCACUCCGCCUGGGGAGUACGGCCGCAAGGCUG
RNAcentral lists this ribosomal RNA (374 nucleotides) under uncultured organism. Its description in RNAcentral is "partial 16S ribosomal RNA". It matches the Rfam family "Bacterial small subunit ribosomal RNA", at positions 527 to 896 of the family's 1533-position model. The record is from RNAcentral.